AGGUUAAGUUAACAAGGGCGCAUGGUGAAUGCCUUGGCACUAGGAGCCGAUGAAGGACGGGACUAACACCGAUAUGCUUCGGGGAGCUGUACGUAAGCUAUGAUCCGGAGAUUUCCGAAUGGGGCAACCCAGCAGUUUUAAUCAACUGUUACCACUAGAUGAAUUCAUAGUCUAGUUGGAGGUAAACGCUGUGAACUGAAACAUCUCAUUAGCAGCAGGAAUAUAAAGAAAUUUCGAUUCCCUAAGUAGCGGCGAGCGAACGGGGAACAGCCCAAACCAAAGUGCUUGCACUUUGGGGUUGUAGGACUGAACAUUUGAGUUACCAAAGAACUUGAUAGUCGAAGGAUUUGGGAAAAUCCGCCAUAGAUGGUGAUAGCCCAGUAGAUUAAAUCAAAUUCUCUCAGUUCAGGAUCCUGAGUACGGCGGAACACGUGAAAUUCCGUCGGAAUCCGGGAGGACCAUCUCCCAAGGCUAAAUACUACCUAGUGACCGAUAGUGAACCAGUACCGUGAGGGAAAGGUGAAAAGCACCCCGGGAGGGGAGUGAAAUAGUUCCUGAAACCAUGUGCCUACAAUAAGUCAGAGCGCGUUAAUGCGUGAUGGCGUGCCUUUUGUAGAAUGAACCGGCGAGUUAUGAUCCCGUGCAAGGUUAAGACUAAAAAGUCGGAGCCGUAGCGAAAGCGAGUCUGAAAUGGGCGUUUUGAGUACGAGGUUAUAGACCCGAAACCAGGUGACCUAUCCAUGUCCAGGUUGAAGGUGCGGUAAAACGCACUGGAGGACCGAACCCGUGUAAGUUGAAAAUUGCUGGGAUGAGGUGUGGAUAGCGGUGAAAUUCCAAACGAACUUGGAGAUAGCUGGUUCUCUCCGAAAUAGCUUUAGGGCUAGCCUCGGAAUUAGGAUCAUGGAGGUAGAGCACUAUUUGGACUAGGGGCCCGUCUUGGGUUACUGAAUUCAGAUAAACUCCGAAUGCCAUUGAUUCAUAUCCGGGAGUCAGACGAUGAGUGAUAAGAUCCACCGUCGAAAGGGGAACAGCCCAGACCAUCAGUUAAGGUCCCUAAAUGUAUGCUAAGUGGAAAAGGAUGUGGAGUUGCAUAGACAACUAGGAUGUUGGCUCAGAAGCAGCCACCAUUUAAAGAGUGCGUAAUAGCUCACUAGUCGAGUGAUCCUGCGCCGAAAAUGUACCGGGGCUAAGCAUACUACCGAAACCAUGGAUGCGACCAUUAGGUCGCGUGAUAGGAGAGCGUUCUAAGGGCGGUGAAGCAAGAUCGUGAGGACUUGUGGAGCGCUUAGAAGUGAGAAUGCCGGUAUGAGUAGCGAAAGAUAGGUGAGAAUCCUAUCCACCGAAUGACUAAGGUUUCCUGGGGAAGGCUCGUCCUCCCAGGGUUAGUCGGGACCUAAGUCGAGGCCGAGAGGCGUAGACGAUGGAUAACAGGUUGAGAUUCCUGUACUAGUUAAGUGCGUUUGAGCAAUGGAGGGACGCAGGAGGCUAAGAUGUGCAUUCUGUUGGAUUAGAAUGUCCAAGCAGUAAGUCUUGUGAAGAGUCAAAUGCUUUUCACUUUAAGGACAAGCUGUGAUGGGGAGCGAAAUUUAGUAGCGAAGCGUCUGAUGUCGCACUGCCGAGAAAAGCUUCUAGUGAGUACUUAACUACCCGUACCGCAAACCGACACAGGUAGUCGAGGAGAGAAUCCUAAGGUGAGCGAGUGAACUCUCGUUAAGGAACUCGGCAAAAUGACCCCGUAACUUCGGGAGAAGGGGUGCUGAUCGCAAGAUCAGCCGCAGUGAAUAGGCCCAGGCGACUGUUUAUCAAAAACACAGGUCUCUGCAAAAUCGUAAGAUGACGUAUAGGGGCUGACGCCUGCCCGGUGCUGGAAGGUUAAAAGGAUGGGUUAGCUUCGGCGAAGCUCAGAAUUGAAGCCCCAGUAAACGGCGGCCGUAACUAUAACGGUCCUAAGGUAGCGAAAUUCCUUGUCGGGUAAGUUCCGACCCGCACGAAAGGCGUAACGAUCUGGGCACUGUCUCAACGAGAGACUCGGUGAAAUUAUAUUGUCCGUGAAGAUGCGGACUACCCGCGACAGGACGGAAAGACCCCAUGGAGCUUUACUGUAGCUUGAUAUUGAGUGUUUGUACAGCUUGUACAGGAUAGGUAGGAGCCAUAGAAACCGGAACGCUAGUUUCGGUGGAGGCGUUGGUGGGAUACUACCCUCGCUGUAUGACCACUCUAACCCGCACCACUAAUCGUGGUGGGAGACAGUGUCAGGUGGGCAGUUUGACUGGGGCGGUCGCCUCCUAAAAAGUAACGGAGGCGCCCAAAGGUUCCCUCAGAAUGGUUGGAAAUCAUUCGCAGAGUGUAAAGGCACAAGGGAGCUUGACUGCGAGACAGACAGGUCGAGCAGGGACGAAAGUCGGGCUUAGUGAUCCGGUGGUACCGUAUGGAAGGGCCAUCGCUCAACGGAUAAAAGCUACCCUGGGGAUAACAGGCUUAUCUCCCCCAAGAGUCCACAUCGACGGGGAGGUUUGGCACCUCGAUGUCGGCUCAUCGCAUCCUGGGGCUGUAGUCGGUCCCAAGGGUUGGGCUGUUCGCCCAUUAAAGCGGUACGCGAGCUGGGUUCAGAACGUCGUGAGACAGUUCGGUCCCUAUCCGUCGCGGGCGUAGGAAAUUUGAGAGGACCUGUCCUUAGUACGAGAGGACCGGGAUGGACAUACCUCUGGUGUACCAGUUGUGCCGCCAGGCGCAUCGCUGGGUAGCUACGUAUGGAUGUGAUAAACGCUGAAAGCAUCUAAGUGUGAAACACACCUCGAGAUGAGAUUUCCCAUUCCUUUAUGGAAGUAAGACCCCUGAAAGAUGAUCAGGUAGAUAGGUUAGAAGUGGCAGUGCGGUGACGCAUGAAGCGGACUAAUACUAAUCGGUCGAGGACUUAACCAAG
RNAcentral lists this ribosomal RNA (2923 nucleotides) under Lactiplantibacillus plantarum. Its description in RNAcentral is "bacterial LSU rRNA". It matches the Rfam family "Bacterial large subunit ribosomal RNA". The record is from RNAcentral. Lineage: Bacteria; Bacillati; Bacillota; Bacilli; Lactobacillales; Lactobacillaceae.